CAGUCGCCACGGGAACACGGAGGGUGCAAGCGUUAAUCGGAAUUACUGGGCGUAAAGCGUGCGUAGGCGGUUCGUUAAGUCUGUUGUGAAAGCCCCGGGCUCAACCUGGGAAUGGCAAUGGAUACUGGCGAGCUAGAGUGUGUCAGAGGAUGGUGGAAUUCCCGGUGUAGCGGUGAAAUGCGUAGAGAUCGGGAGGAACAUCAGUGGCGAAGGCGGCCAUCUGGGACAACACUGACGCUGAGGCACGAAAGCGUGGGGAGCAAACAGGAUUAGAGACCCGAGUAGUCCCUGUCUCUUAUAC
Molecule: ribosomal RNA, 301 nt
Filed under: uncultured bacterium
Lineage: Bacteria
Description: partial 16S ribosomal RNA
Rfam family: Bacterial small subunit ribosomal RNA
Source: RNAcentral